CUAACUACGUUCCAGCAGCCGCGGUAAUACGUAGGGGGCAAGCGUUAUCCGGAUUUAUUGGGUGUAAAGGGAGCGUAGACGGCAGAGCAAGUCUGAAGUGAAAGCCCGCGGCCCAACUGCGGGACUGCUUUGGAAACUGCCCGGCUAGAGUGCUGGAGAGGUAAGCGGAAUUCCUAGUGUAGCGGUGAAAUGCGUAGAUAUUAGGAGGAACACCAGUGGCGAAGGCGGCUUACUGGACAGUAACUGACGUUGAGGCUCGAAAGCGUGGGGAGCAAACAGG
RNAcentral lists this ribosomal RNA (280 nucleotides) under uncultured bacterium. RNAcentral's name for it is "partial 16S ribosomal RNA". It matches the Rfam family "Bacterial small subunit ribosomal RNA", at positions 497 to 776 of the family's 1533-position model. The record is from RNAcentral.